UCAAAAUCAUGGGUUUUUUUAUUAACCUGACCUGUGUUACAGUGUCCACCCUUUGGGUACACAGGAGAAACCCCUCCAGCUGCACUCCAUACCCUGGGCAGCACCUGAAUUUCUGGUUAAAAUCUGUGUCCAAAUAAGCCAGAAACAUUUGAGAUGUGCAGUAUGAGAAAUUCCCCCUAAGGCAGAGGACACGCAGAUGGGUCUUUGGAAAUCAUAAACUUUCUAAAGAGAUAGGGAAGAAGUACACAGGAACAAGGUCUUCAACUCCACUGGGACAUGAGGAACAUCUUUGUCUCUUCACAGAUCUGUCCCUUAGGAACUGCAGUCAAAUUCACUUGAACAAACAAAAUGUUUCCUUUUAACUGGCUGCUGUUUGUUAACUCAUGAAAGAGAAGAUGCUUGUUGUUCCCUUUAUUUUUUUUUUUUUGCUUUUGAUUUGCAUUGCAAGGUGAGUUUGUAAACGGAACUAAUAGAAAAAUCAAGGUUAAUGCUGCCUGAUCAAAUAAGAAUCAUGAAGUUUGCCCCUUUGCAGAGCAAUGGAUGAUAUCUGUGGUACUUUUUAUGAUGCUAAUAUGACACCAAGGUGAAAUGUGAACCUGGAACAUAAUGAAAUCAAGAGUUUAUGAUGAAUCAGUGAGCAAAAAGCAUUAUUUGGGUACACUAUUCUAGGAAACUCUCAAAAAACCCAUUCACUUUUUAUACAAUUCACUGAGGCUCAUCCAGUGAACCAAACACAGAAAUUGCCACAGGAUUUGAUGCAGUGGUGCCCCAUUCUUCAAAAAUAAAUUAUUCAAAAAUUCUGCACAAAUAACAAUCCAAGAAAUUGGAUUAUAUAUGAAUAAAUACAUUGUGUUGUGACAUUUAACAAUUUGAGGUUUUUUUUCCCAGAAUGAAAGAAUAUAAAGUACAAAUUUCUGCCCUUUACCUUUAGAAAGCUGGGAAAACGUGUGUUUAUUUAUCUCAAUGCAGAAAUUGUGUGAAAGCCUCAUUUGUGUGGGUCAGAAAGACAACAAGAUUGUUUUCUGAAUCCAAGGCUAUUCCCAUAUAGGACUAGAUUUUAGUAACUGGUGUUCUAGUGCAUUAAAGUGAAUCCACAAUGUGCUGGUGGGGUCUGUGUGCAAUCAUUUCUUCUAUCUGGGUGUCACAGCACUCCAUUUUGCCUUUUUUUAGGCUUGUUAAUCUUGUUACUCUGCUGAGCGUGCAUCAGUGUAGCUGUUGGACUCUGCAAAUCCCACGAGUAAUUUCACUCAGCUCCACAAAACACAUUUAUCUUUGGCAGCCCAUGAGUAAGAGCGGCUGAGAUGUUGUCAGUGUUCAAUGCAGAUCUGGUCUUUGCCAUUUCUUAGUCCUGGACUGGGGAAACACAAGCAAACAUUCCACAUUUCUGCAGGUGAGACAUAAACUUUAAGAAAUUUACAGAUUUUAGAGCAGUGAAGAUUUUAGUUAGAGCUAAAGGUUUAUUGGAGUUAAUUAAAAUAAAUGGGUAGGCCUUGAUGGAGUUAAGAGUUAGUAGUUAACUAAUAAUUGAUUGCUUGUCAACAUAAUGUUUGGUUAGCUGGGUUUAUAAUGAAUAAUAUAGAAACUAAUAAAUAGCUUUUAGGAGCAUAAGAAAAUUGUGGCCUCCUCUGUUCUUAAACCAAUUGAAGACGGAAAUGGGAGUUCUACCAAGGGUUCAUUUGUCAUAUUUGCAUUGAAAAGGUAGAAAGGUCAGAAUGAGAAAGACUUCAUUCACUUCCUCAUUUUGGAAUGAAUGGAAGGGACCACCAACCCAUUUCAAGGAACAAACUACUCAUGCUUAAUGACUUUUGAACUAAUUACUAUACGAAGAGGGGAAUGGGAUAUACCAAAGUUAUGAAUACGCAUUUGUAUUUUGGGUAUUCAAUACCUGUAUAGAUAAAAGGACUCUGUAAUGACCUGUAAAUUGUGGUGUGUAUUUGG
Zonotrichia albicollis (white-throated sparrow) is the source of this 1938-nucleotide non-coding RNA. NCBI's taxonomy places the organism in Eukaryota, Metazoa, Chordata, Aves, Passeriformes, Passerellidae. The record is from RefSeq and is a predicted model, not a curated record.